GAUGAACGCUAGCGAUAGGCUUAACACAUGCAAGUCGAGGGGCAGCAUACUGGUAGCAAUACUGGAGAUGGCGACCGGCGCACGGGUGAGUAACGCGUAUGCAACCUACCUUCUACAGAGGGAUAGCCCGGAGAAAUCCGGAUUAAUACCUCAUAACACAGGGCCCCCGCAUGGGGAUAUUAGUUAAAGAAAUUCGGUAGAAGAUGGGCAUGCGUUCCAUUAGGCAG
RNAcentral lists this ribosomal RNA (227 nucleotides) under uncultured bacterium. RNAcentral describes it as "partial 16S ribosomal RNA". It matches the Rfam family "Bacterial small subunit ribosomal RNA", at positions 28 to 248 of the family's 1533-position model. The record is from RNAcentral.